RNAcentral lists this long non-coding RNA (275 nucleotides) under Capsicum annuum. Its description in RNAcentral is "long non-coding RNA (CANN_LNC021193)". The record is from RNAcentral. Lineage: Eukaryota; Viridiplantae; Streptophyta; Magnoliopsida; Solanales; Solanaceae.
AUAUGAGACACUUUAGUACCCCCAAGUCCUUGCAAGUUUUUCAUAGUCAGUUCCAAACUUCUCAAUUUUCUAGCUAUUUCCUCUUGUUAUUCUAUCAUAACAGGCUUCUCAGUGUUAGGAGGAAAUUCAGGCGGUUGAGGGCAAUCGUAAGGACCAGUCGACUUAAAUGUAGGCUCGAGAGCAUAAUGCUGAUCACUAAAAAUAUUCAAUGCAGGCUCUCUUGUAGAGUAGGGAGGCACAACUUGUGGAUGAACAUCAAAAGUAGGAGCUUCAGG